RNAcentral lists this ribosomal RNA (253 nucleotides) under uncultured bacterium. RNAcentral describes it as "partial 16S ribosomal RNA". It matches the Rfam family "Bacterial small subunit ribosomal RNA", at positions 524 to 776 of the family's 1533-position model. The record is from RNAcentral.
UACGGGGGGGGCAAGCGUUGCUCGGAAUCACUGGGCGUAAAGGGUGCGUAGGCGGGCCUUUAAGUCAGGGGUGAAAUCCUGGAGCUCAACUCCAGAACUGCCUUUGAUACUGAGAAGCUUGAGUCCGGGAGAGGUGAGUGGAACUGCGAGUGUAGAGGUGAAAUUCGUAGAUAUUCGCAAGAACACCAGUGGCGAAGGCGGCUCACUGGCCCGGUACUGACGCUGAGGUGCGAAAGCGUGGGGAGCAAACAGG